Molecule: ribosomal RNA, 393 nt
Filed under: uncultured bacterium
Lineage: Bacteria
Description: partial 16S ribosomal RNA
Rfam family: Bacterial small subunit ribosomal RNA
Source: RNAcentral
AUACGGAGGAUGCGAGCGUUAUCCGGAUUUAUUGGGUUUAAAGGGUGCGUAGGCUGUGCGUUAAGUCAGGGGUGAAAUGCCGUCGCUCAACGACGGAGCUGCCCUUGAUACUGGCGUGCUGGAGUACGGAUGCCGUUGGAGGAAUGAGUGGUGUAGCGGUGGAAUGCUUAGAUAUCACUCAGAACACCGAUUGCGAAGGCAUCUGACGAAUCCGUCACUGACGCUGAGGCACGAAAGCGUGGGGAUAGAACAGGAUUAGAUACCCUGGUAUUCCACGCCGUAAACGAUGAUGACUAACCGUCGGCGAUAGACAGCCGGUGGCCAAGCGAAAGCGAUAAGUCAUCCACCUGGGGAGUACGUCGGCAACGACGAAACUCAAAUGAAUUGACGGGG